This 68-nucleotide transfer RNA is filed under the name uncultured Prevotella sp. It matches the Rfam family "tRNA". From Rfam's summary of the family: Transfer RNA (tRNA) molecules are approximately 80 nucleotides in length. Their secondary structure includes four short double-helical elements and three loops (D, anti-codon, and T loops). Lineage: Bacteria; Pseudomonadati; Bacteroidota; Bacteroidia; Bacteroidales; Prevotellaceae. The record is from RNAcentral.
UGACAUAGCUCAAUCGGUAGAGCAACGCACUUGUAACGCGUUGGUUGUGGGUUCAAUUCCCUCUGUCA